GAUGAAGAACGUAGCGGAAUGCGAUAAGUAAUGUGAAUUGCAGAAUUCAGUGAAUCAUCGAAUCUUUGAACGCACAUUGCGCCCGCCAGUAUUCUGGCGGGCAUGCCUGUUCGAGCGUCAUUACAACCCUCAGGCCCCCGGGCCUGGCGUUGGGGAUCGGCGGAAGCCCCCUGCGGGCACAACGCCGUCCCCCAAAUACAGUGGCGGUCCCGCCGCAGCUUCCAUUGCGUAGUAGCUAACACCUCGCAACUGGAGAGCGGCGCGGCCACGCCGUAAAACACCCAACUUCUGAAUGUUGACCUCGAAUCAGGUAGGAAUACCCGCUGAACUUAAGCAUAUCAAUAAGCGGAGGA
RNAcentral lists this unclassified non-coding RNA (353 nucleotides) under soil metagenome. RNAcentral describes it as "partial contains 5.8S ribosomal RNA, internal transcribed spacer 2, and large subunit ribosomal RNA". The stretch from base 1 to 120 matches the Rfam family "5.8S ribosomal RNA", at positions 35 to 154 of the family's 154-position model. The record is from RNAcentral.